This 638-nucleotide ribosomal RNA is filed under the name uncultured Sebacinales. Its description in RNAcentral is "eukaryotic LSU rRNA". It matches the Rfam family "Eukaryotic large subunit ribosomal RNA", at positions 49 to 663 of the family's 3401-position model. Lineage: Eukaryota; Fungi; Basidiomycota; Agaricomycetes; Sebacinales. The record is from RNAcentral.
GCAGGAGGAAAAGCAACUAACAAAGGAUUCCCCUAGUAACGGCGAGUGAAGAGGGAAAAGCUCAAAUUUUGAAUCUGGUGUCUUUGACUCCCGAGUUGUAAUCUAGAGAAGUGUUUUCCGCGUCGGACCGUGCACAAAGUUCCCUGGAACGGGGCGUCAUAGAGGGUGAGAAUCCCGUAUAUGGCAUGGACCGCCGAUGCUCUGUGAUACACUCUCAACGAGUCGAGUUGUUUGGGAAUGCAGCUCAAAAUGGGUGGUAAAUUCCAUCUAAAGCUAAAUAUUGGCGAGAGACCGAUAGCGAACAAGUACCGUGAGGGAAAGAUGAAAAGCACUUUGGAAAGAGAGUGAAACAGUACGUGAAAUUGUUGAAAGGGAAGCGUUUGAAGUCAGUCGUAUCUGGCGGGAUUCAGCCUGGCUUUUGCCUGGUGUACUUCCCGUCCGAUGGGUCAGCAUCAAUUUCGAUCGAGGGAAAAAGGCGUGGGGAAUGUGGCUGUCUUCGGGCAGUGUUAUAGCCCUGCGUGGUAUGCCUCGGUUGGGAUUGAGGAACGCAGCGCGCCUAUAGGCCAGGGGCUACCCGCCUCUUGACACGCGCUUAGGAUGCUGGCAUAAUGGCUUUAAGCGACCCGUCUUGAAACACG